UCAGGAUGAACGCUAGCUACAGGCUUAACACAUGCAAGUCGAGGGGCGAGCAUGACGGAAGCUUGCUUCUGUGAUGGCGACCGGCGCACGGGUGAGUAACGCGUAUCCAACCUGGCCCUUAGUAGGGGAUAGCCGGCGAAAGUCGGAUUAAUACCCUAUGUUUUCCAAUGAGGACAUCUGAGCUGGAACAAAGGUUUACCGCUAAGGGAUGGGGAUGCGUCUGAUUAGGUAGUAGGCGGGGUAACGGCCCACCUAGCCGACGAUCAGUAGGGGUUCUGAGAGGAAGGUCCCCCACAUUGGUACUGAGACACGGACCAAACUCCUACGGGAGGCAGCAGUGAGGAAUAUUGGUCAAUGGACGAGAGUCUGAACCAGCCAAGUAGCGUGCAGGAAUGACUGCCCUAUGGGUUGUAAACUGCUUUUAUGCGGGAAUAAAGUGAGGCACGUGUGCCUUUUUGUAUGUACCGCAUGAAUAAGGACCGGCUAAUUCCGUGCCAGCCGCCGC
This 505-nucleotide ribosomal RNA is filed under the name uncultured bacterium. Its description in RNAcentral is "bacterial SSU rRNA". It matches the Rfam family "Bacterial small subunit ribosomal RNA", at positions 24 to 518 of the family's 1533-position model. The record is from RNAcentral.